This 253-nucleotide ribosomal RNA is filed under the name uncultured bacterium. RNAcentral's name for it is "partial 16S ribosomal RNA". It matches the Rfam family "Bacterial small subunit ribosomal RNA", at positions 524 to 776 of the family's 1533-position model. The record is from RNAcentral.
UACGUAGGGGGCAAGCGUUGUCCGGAAUUAUUGGGCGUAAAGAGCGUGUAGGCGGCCAGAUAAGUCCGCUGUGAAAUCUCGAGGCUCAACUUCGAGCUGUCGGUGGAAACUAUCUGGCUAGAGUCCGGAAGAGGAGAAUGGAAUUCCUGGUGUAGCGGUGAAAUGCGCAGAUAUCAGGAAGAACACCCGUGGCGAAGGCGGUUCUCUGGGACGUUACUGACGCUGAUACGCGAAAGCUUGGGGAGCAAACAGG